Molecule: ribosomal RNA, 300 nt
Filed under: uncultured Aquifex sp.
Lineage: Bacteria; Pseudomonadati; Aquificota; Aquificia; Aquificales; Aquificaceae
Description: bacterial SSU rRNA
Rfam family: Bacterial small subunit ribosomal RNA (bases 56-300)
Source: RNAcentral
GUUACAAGUGUUCUGAGGCUUGGUGUGAUGGUUGGGUGUGAUUGUGGUGCGGGUGUAUUGGUGGUGAAUAGCUGGUGUGUGGCGUGUCGGGUCUGCUGGGAGAUGCGGGGGCGUAACGCCGGGCGUGCAGGGGGUACGGGCAUAACUUGAGUACAGUAUGGGAGACUGGAAUUCCGGGUGUAGCGGUGAAAUGCGCAGAUAUCAGGAGGAACACCGGUGGCGAAGUCGGGUCUCUGGGCAGUAACUGACUCUGAGGAGCGAAAGCAUGGGUAGCGAACAGGAUUAGAUACCCCGGUAGUC